RNAcentral lists this ribosomal RNA (207 nucleotides) under uncultured bacterium. Its description in RNAcentral is "partial 16S ribosomal RNA". It matches the Rfam family "Bacterial small subunit ribosomal RNA", at positions 567 to 774 of the family's 1533-position model. The record is from RNAcentral.
GUGCGUAGGUGGUUUCUUAAGUCAGAGGUGAAAGGCUACGGCUCAACCGUAGUAAGCCUUUGAAACUGAGAAACUUGAGUGCAGGAGAGGAGAGUAGAAUUCCUAGUGUAGCGGUGAAAUGCGUAGAUAUUAGGAGGAAUACCAGUUGCGAAGGCGGCUCUCUGGACUGUAACUGACACUGAGGCACGAAAGCGUGGGGAGCAAACA